RNAcentral lists this ribosomal RNA (253 nucleotides) under uncultured bacterium. RNAcentral describes it as "partial 16S ribosomal RNA". It matches the Rfam family "Bacterial small subunit ribosomal RNA", at positions 524 to 776 of the family's 1533-position model. The record is from RNAcentral.
UACGGAGGGUGCAAGCGUUGUCCGGAUUUAUUGGGUUUAAAGGGUGCGUAGGCGGCCCUGUAAGUCAGUGGUGAAAUUCUUGAGCUUAACUGAAGGAUUGCCAUUGAUACUGUAGGGCUUGAGUACAGAUGAGGUAGGCGGAAUUGAUGGUGUAGCGGUGAAAUGCGUAGAUAUUCGGAAGAACACCAGUGGCGAAGGCGGCUCACUGGCCCGGUACUGACGCUGAGGUGCGAAAGCGUGGGGAGCAAACAGG